UAAAUAAAGAAAUAAAUUUCUACAGGAACUUAGAAAUAAAAUCAAAGUGAACAGCACAAGCCAUUUGAACUAGUUCUAUCUGAGUUUGCAAAAUGCAUGAAAAAACACCAGUAGGAUUUGAAACUUGCUACCAGCUAAAAUUGAUCCUUACCUGGAUAAUAACAUGUCGAGUCUGAAAUGGGCAUUUCUAAAUCCUUAAUUUAUCACUAAUAAAAUUAAGAAACCAUCUCAAGCUCAUGACUGAUCCAAACUAAACAAUUAAAUAUCCCUAACCAAAACUCAAAAACAUUUAUAGCCCUAUACUAACAGUUACCUGCAAUCUUCACUCGACCAU
RNAcentral lists this unclassified non-coding RNA (334 nucleotides) under Hevea brasiliensis (rubber tree). The record is from RNAcentral. Lineage: Eukaryota; Viridiplantae; Streptophyta; Magnoliopsida; Malpighiales; Euphorbiaceae.